CUGGAGUUCAGACGAGUGCUCUUUAUAAUUAAGUUCCACAUGUCUAACGAAAUAUUGUUGGUUGAACCAAUUGAGUCAACAGGUGAAUAACGACUGAUGGGAGAAAACAAUGUAAUCCAGAGUGAAAGUGAACCUAUUAUAAACAAUUAUACAGAAAAAAAAUAAAUAUUUUGUAAGAAAAGUUAUGUAGAAAGGACUGUAUAAUGGGGACAAAAAAAUUUUUUUUGUAUGUAGUUAAGGUUAAAC
This 246-nucleotide long non-coding RNA is filed under the name Neodiprion lecontei (redheaded pine sawfly). RNAcentral describes it as "uncharacterized LOC124293291". Lineage: Eukaryota; Metazoa; Arthropoda; Insecta; Hymenoptera; Diprionidae. The record is from RNAcentral.